AGAAUUUGAUCCUGGUUCAGAUUGAACGCUGACGGCGUGGAUAAGGCAUGCAAGUCGAACGGAAAUAUACGAGCUUGCUCGUAUUUUUUAGUGGCGAAAGGGUUAGUAAUACAUGAAUAAUCUGCCUUCUACUCUGGAAUAACGUUUGGAAACGAGCGCUAAUACCGGAUGUGGUGAUUUUAUCAAAAGAUAGAGUCAUUAAAGUGGGGGACCAUUUGGCCUUGCGGUAGAAGAGGGGUUCAUGGGAUAUCAGCUUGUUGGUGAGGUAAUGGCUCACCAAGGCUAAGACGUCUAGGCGGAUUGAGAGAUUGAUCGCCAACACUGGGACUGAGACACUGCCCAGACUCCUACGGGAGGCUGCAGUCGAGAAUCAUUCGCAAUGGGCGAAAGCCUGACGAUGCGACGCCGUGUGACUGAAGAAGGCCUUCGGGUUGUAAAAGUCUUUCGCUGGGGAACAAGAAUUAUGCAGUAAUAUUGUAUAAUUUUGAUGGUACCCGGUAAAGAAGCACCGGCUAACUCCGUGCCAGCAGCUGCGGUAAUACGGAGGGUGCAAGCGUUAAUCGGAUUUAUUGGGCGUAAAGAGCGCGUAGGCGGGAAAUUAAGUCAGACGUGAAAGCCCGAGGCUCAACCUCGGAAUAGCAUCUGAAACUGGUUUUCUUGAGGGUAGGCGGAGAGAACGGAAUUCCACAAGUAGCGGUGAAAUGCGUAGAUAUGUGGAAGAACACCGGUGGCGAAGGCGGUUCUCUAGCUUACUCCUGACGCUGAGGCGCGAAAGUGUGGGUAGCAAACAGGAUUAGAUACCCUGGUAGUCCACACCGUAAACGAUGUGUACUUGGUGUAGAUUGGCUCAACCCAGUCUGUGCCGUAGCUAACGUGUUAAGUACACCGCCUGAGGAGUACGCUCGCAAGGGUGAAACUCAAAAGAAUUGACGGGGGCCCGCACAAGCAGUGGAGCAUGUGGUUUAAUUCGAUGCAACGCGAAGAACCUUACCCAGGUUUGACAUAUAGAGGACAGUAGUGGAAACACUAUCUCUCUUCGGAGUCUCUAUACAGGUGCUGCAUGGCUGUCGUCAGCUCGUGCCGUGAGGUGUUGGGUUAAGUCCCGCAACGAGCGCAACCCUUAUCAUUAGUUGCCAACACGUAAUGGUGGGAACUCUAGUGAGACUGCCUAGGUUAACUAGGAGGAAGGUGAGGAUGACGUCAAGUCAGCAUGGCCCUUAUACCUGGGGCUACACACGUGCUACAAUGGACGGUACAGAAGGCAGCGAAGCCGAGAGGUGGAGCAAAUCCAGAAAAGCCGUCCUCAGUUCGGAUUGUAGUCUGCAACUCGACUACAUGAAGUUGGAAUUGCUAGUAAUGGCGUGUCAGCAAUAACGCCGUGAAUACGUUCCCGGGCCUUGUACACACCGCCCGUCACAUCACGGGAGUUGGUUUUACCCGAAGCCGUUGACUCAACCGCAAGGAGAGAGGCGUCUAAGGUGAGGCUGAUGACUAGGAUGAAGUCGUAACAAGGUAGCCCUACCGGAAGGUGGGGCUGGAUCACCU
This 1545-nucleotide ribosomal RNA is filed under the name Chlamydiales bacterium SCGC AB-751-O23. Its description in RNAcentral is "bacterial SSU rRNA". It matches the Rfam family "Bacterial small subunit ribosomal RNA". The record is from RNAcentral. Lineage: Bacteria; Pseudomonadati; Chlamydiota; Chlamydiia; Chlamydiales.